Long non-coding RNA from Zea mays, 1704 nucleotides. RefSeq lists it as uncharacterized. The transcript is spliced from 2 exons. The record is from RefSeq and is a predicted model, not a curated record. NCBI's taxonomy places the organism in Eukaryota, Viridiplantae, Streptophyta, Magnoliopsida, Poales, Poaceae.
ACUUAUAUAAUGUGUUGCUGAUAUAUGAUGGCAGGGACGGUUAAUUAAGCAUUCCAAUCCUCAGCCAUGGCCGUGGACACUACUCAACCGGAGUACUGGCUCAACUGGAGGUUCUUGCUGUGCGCGCUCUGGGUCUACUCCUGCAUGGCCUUGGCAUUCUUCUUGAUUAAGAAGUACGAGGGGGCCAGUUCACCGGACAGCAAUGGCGAUGACGGUGGAGACAGAGAAGAGGCGUUACCACGUGUCAGACCUGGUGUUGUUUAUCUUGAAGAUUGCUGGAAGACAUGCCUUGAGGGUAUCCACCCUGGCUGGCUGCUGGCAUUUCGCGUUGUGGCCUUCUUCGUUUUGGCUUCGCUGCUCGUGGUCGACAUCAUUACUGAGAGAUUCCCUCUGGCUUGUGAUGCUACAUGCCCAGCAAGUUUCUUAGUUUCUAUGUUGAAUUAGUUGAAGCUAGAAGGCCAGAGUUGGUGAUUUGGGUUCUGCGAUUUUGGUCUCAGGUCUGAUGGGGCGGAGCCGCACCUGAUGAAUAUCCAGUUCCAGAAGAAGAUGCAGCUGCAGGUGCCUACUUCAGUAGGGAUGCUAUUCCCUCUGGCUUGUGAUGCUACACGCCCAGCAAGAUCUCCAUCCGGGCUGGUGAUGGCUUCCACAACCUCAAGCUGGUAUUUCGGUGUUUCCAAAUGGCCCAGCAGCAAAGAUGGACGAGAGCGCUCUGGUGUCGUGGGGCAGCAGGUGCAGGUCCUGGGGGGGAUUUGGACCCCGACGCUGUGCCAGAAGGAAGCUGCAUAGUGGAACCAGAGGAAGAUGUGGUAGCAGUCUUCGUCUGCUUGAAGGCAGAGGUCACAGAUGGGGUUGGCAAUCACACCUUUCUCGACCAAGCUUACUUUGUGCUUGAUUUUGCUUUGAUUGAGGAGCCACAUAAAGAGCUUCAACCGUUCCACACAAAGUCAGGCUCCUCUAGGUUGGGGGCUGACAGAGAUUGGAUCAUUGUGUAAAGGGCUCCGGAGUGCAACUUGCCAGUGAUGUCAAUGAGGGGACUCCGGAGCUGAUCUGGCAGAUCAGUGAUAUCGACGUUGUUCAGAGCAAGUUGGAGAAUGGCCAUCUCCCGUUGGGCAGUUCGACUGAGACGAGUUCUCAGGUUGUUGAUCAUACCAGUUUGCAUAACCUGGCUAACAAUUGGUUCAACAUCUGUCACAUGGUUGCAGAGAGCAGGCAGGUGUUCCACGAUCGGGCCAAAGGGGAGCCAGACGUCCAACCAUAACGAUGUGGUCGUGCCAUUUCCAACACAGACCGAAGUGAUGGCCCGGUACAGGGGGAGAAGGGUCUGGAGGUGGUUCCAGUGAUCCCCUGCAGGUUUGUUCCUGUCAUCGGAUUGGGCCCAAGCCACCCAGGAUGACAGAGCAGGUUGGUGUAGACGAUGGAUGAGCUUGAGGAGGCAGGUAUUCCCACAGGAAAAUAUAUACUAUGACAGUUACGUGCUUUGACAGUGUAAGAUACAUGUUACAUGAAGUAAUUUUAUAGCAUUUAGUUAGCUUUGUAUGAAACCACCUCCAAAAGCUAGCAUUCCUUCCGGCGGCCAGCUGUUUGUUUAAAGCUAGCUAGCUAGCAGAGAGAGAUGGAUCACUUGUUCUUGCACUCCCUGCUGUCGUCUGUGUAUAUGAUCCGGCUGGCCAGGAAUCUAUCACUUCAUCAUCAAGUCGAAUCGCA